CGUGCCUAACACAUGCAGUCGUACGAGAAACACAUCCUUCGGGAUGUGGAGUAAAGUGGCGAACGGGUGAGUAACACGUGGGUAACCUGCCCUCGGGACCGGGAUGACUGGCCGAAAGGCCCGCUAAUACCGGAUAAGGCCACAUGGGCUUCGGCCCAAGGGGUCAAAGUCGGCCUCUCAAAGAAGCUGGCGCCCAAGGAGGGGCUCGCGUACCAUUAGCUUGUUGGUAGGGUAACGGCCUACCAAGGCAAAGAUGGUUAGCUGGUCUGAGAGGAUGAUCAGCCACACUGGAACUGACACACGGUCCAGACUCCUACGGGAGGCAGCAGUGAGGAAUAUUGCGCAAUGGGGGAAACCCUGACGCAGCAACGCCGCGUGGGUGAAGAAGGCCCUCGGGUUGUAAAGCCCUGUCAGGUGCGAAGAACCCUUUUCAGGUUAAUACCCUGGAGAGCUGACGGUACCACCAAAGGAAGCACCGGCUAACUCCGUGCCAGCAGCCGCGGUAAGACGGAUGGUGCAAGCGUUGUUCGGAAUUACUGGGCGUAAAGCGCGUGUAGGCGG
Molecule: ribosomal RNA, 561 nt
Filed under: uncultured organism
Description: bacterial SSU rRNA
Rfam family: Bacterial small subunit ribosomal RNA
Source: RNAcentral